RNAcentral lists this long non-coding RNA (741 nucleotides) under Lathyrus oleraceus (garden pea). RNAcentral's name for it is "Pisum sativum (pea) long non-coding RNA (PSAT_LNC022014)". The record is from RNAcentral. Lineage: Eukaryota; Viridiplantae; Streptophyta; Magnoliopsida; Fabales; Fabaceae.
CACCUUCUUCUUCGGCCAACACCACCCCAAAAGAACGUAACACCAACACCAACCCUUCCUUGUUUUGGCCGGAGAAUCCAAAUCUGGCCUUAACUUUCCCUAAAUCUCUCUCAAACAACCGGAUCGGCACUCAAAGCGAAACAAAAACCUCAACCCUCAACCGAAGCGACAUUCAACGCGACCAAACAAAACCCUACACUCCUCCUAACCAACAAAUCAAAACAAAUCAACAACAAAAAACAGUUCAAACAGUAAACCCUAAUUUUGAAAUUAAAACCUCCACAGUUGCGAUUUAAAGAAAAUAUCAAGGGGUUUUUACUCAGUUUGGAAAGGCGAAUGAGAUCGUAUGUAGAUUUCAAGCAAAGGAGGGAGAAGAAGACUACUCAAUCGGAGCUGGUCCGGCGGCGAUGCUUUCUCCGGCGCGAUUCAGAUAAGUUUCCUCCUUUUAUUUAAAUCUCUCCUUCUUCACCUUCUUCGUGUUCGGCGUUUUAGCUUGGUUACUUCAAAGUUUCAAUGAGAAACUUUGAAUAACUUAGGGCUUUCAAGCUUUGUGUGAGGUGUUUGGGAUUGAAUUCGACAGCGUUUUCGUAGGGUCUCCAAUCCUCUCAGAUUCGUUAUUUCCGCCUCCUUUUUAUAGGAGAAUUUCUUUUUAGGAUAAGAAUUGGUGAGUUGUGUUUUUGCUGAUAGUACUAAAUCCAUUAGGGAUUUCCGCGCGUCCCUAAUUCUGUGGAAGUUGUUUUG